RNAcentral lists this ribosomal RNA (423 nucleotides) under uncultured bacterium. Its description in RNAcentral is "bacterial SSU rRNA". It matches the Rfam family "Bacterial small subunit ribosomal RNA", at positions 354 to 774 of the family's 1533-position model. The record is from RNAcentral.
GUAAGGAAUAUUGGACAAUGGAGGCAACUCUGAUCCAGCCAUGCCGCGUGAAGGAAUAAGGCCCUAUGGGUUGUAAACUUCUUUUAGACGGGACAAAACCCCUUUACGUGUAAAGGGUUGAUGGUACUGUCAGAAUAAGCAUCGGCUAACUUCGUGCCAGCAGCCGCGGUAAUACGAAGGAUGCAAGCGUUAUCCGGAAUUAUUGGGUUUAAAGGGUGCGUAGGCGGACUAAUAAGUCAGUGGUGAAAGCCUGCAGCUUAACUGCAGAAUUGCCAUUGAUACUGUUAGUCUUGAGUACAGUUGAGGUAGGCCGAAUGUGUCAUGUAGCGGUGAAAUGCUUAGAUAUGACACAGAACACCGAUUGCGAAGGCAGCUUGCUAAGCUGUAACUGACGCUGAGGCACGAAAGCGUGGGGAGCAAACA